CGCCUGUUUAUCAAAAACAUGUCUUUUAGAGUUUAUUAAAAGUCAAACCUGCUCAAUGAUAAUUUUUAAAUAGCCGCAGUAUUUUAACUAUACAAAGGUAGCAUAAUCAUUAGUCUUUUAAUUGAGGUCUGGAAUGAAUGGUUAAACGAGAAAUAAACUUUAUUUUUUAAAUUAUUUUGAAUUUUUUUUUAUAGUAAAAAAACUAUAAUUUGUAAGUGGGACGAUAAGACCCUAUAGAUCUUUAUAAAUUAAAAGUUUAUUUUUUUUUUGAAUUAUUUUUAUAUUAAAUUUUUAAUUUAUUUUGUUGGGGUGAUAAAUAAAAUUUUAAACUUUUUUUUUUUUUUACAUUUAUAAAUGAUUAAUUUGAUCCUUUAAUAUUGAAAAUAAGAUCCAGAUACCUUAGGGAUAACAGCGUUAUAUAUUUGGAGAGUUCAAAUUGAUAAAUAUGUUUGCGACCUCGAUGUUGGAUUAAAAUUUAAUUGUGGGGUAGGUUUUACAAGUUUAGGUCUGUUCGACUUUAAAAUUUUACAUGAUCUGAGUUCAGACCGG
Molecule: ribosomal RNA, 549 nt
Filed under: Tettigometra sp. WBY-2000
Lineage: Eukaryota; Metazoa; Arthropoda; Insecta; Hemiptera; Tettigometridae
Description: partial 16S ribosomal RNA
Rfam family: Bacterial large subunit ribosomal RNA (bases 405-549)
Source: RNAcentral